GAUGAACGCUGGCGGCGUGCCUAAUACAUGCAAGUUGAGCGAACGGACGAGAAGCUUGCUUCUCUGAUGUUAGCGGCGGACGGGUGAGUAACACGUGGAUAACCUACCUAUAAGACUGGGAUAACUUCGGGAAACCGGAGCUAAUACCGGAUAAUAUUUUGAACCGCAUGGUUCAAAAGUGAAAGACGGUCUUGCUGUCACUUAUAGAUGGAUCCGCGCUGCAUUAGCUAGUUGGUAAGGUAACGGCUUACCAAGGCAACGAUGCGUAGCCGACCUGAGAGGGUGAUCGCCCACCCUGGAACUGAGACGCGGUCCAGACUCCUACGGGAGGCAGCAGUAGGGAAUCUUCCGCAGUGGGCGAGAGCCUGACGGAGCAACGCCGCGUGAGUGAUGAAGGUCUUCGGAUCGUAAAACUCUGUUAUUAGGGAAGAACAUAUUUGUAAGUAACUGUGCACAUCUUGACGGUACCUAAUCAGAAAGCCACGGCUAACUACGUG
Molecule: ribosomal RNA, 497 nt
Filed under: uncultured bacterium
Lineage: Bacteria
Description: partial 16S ribosomal RNA
Rfam family: Bacterial small subunit ribosomal RNA
Source: RNAcentral